Molecule: long non-coding RNA, 342 nt
Filed under: Coturnix japonica (Japanese quail)
Lineage: Eukaryota; Metazoa; Chordata; Aves; Galliformes; Phasianidae
Description: lncRNA (ENSCJPG00005006533.1)
Source: RNAcentral
AUUACCCAGUCCCCCCCAUGUGCUUCCCCAUUCCUCCCAAUUUGCUCCCAGUGCUCCCUCGCCAGUUCGCCCAUUGCUCCCAGUUCCUCUCAUUGCUCCCAGUUCCCACCAUUGCUCCCAGUUCCCCCCAUUGCUCCCAGUUCCCUCCCAGUGCUCCCAGUUCCCCCCAUUGCUCCCAGUUCCCCCCCAUUGCUCUCAUUCCUCCCAUUGCUGCCCAGUUCCGCCCCAUUGCUCCAGUUUACCCUUACCUUGCUCCCAGUUCCCUCCAUUGCUCCCAGUUCCAUCCAUUGCCUCCCAGUUCCCCAUUCUCCCGUUUCCCUCCCAUUGCUCCCAUUCCCUCAU